RNAcentral lists this transfer RNA (73 nucleotides) under Planctomycetota bacterium. It matches the Rfam family "tRNA". From Rfam's summary of the family: Transfer RNA (tRNA) molecules are approximately 80 nucleotides in length. Their secondary structure includes four short double-helical elements and three loops (D, anti-codon, and T loops). Further hydrogen bonds mediate the characteristic L-shaped molecular structure. tRNAs have two regions of fundamental functional importance: the anti-codon, which is responsible for specific mRNA codon recognition, and the 3' end, to which the tRNAs corresponding amino acid is attached (by aminoacyl-tRNA synthetases). tRNAs cope with the degeneracy of the genetic code in two manners: having more than one tRNA (with a specific anti-codon) for a particular amino acid; and 'wobble' base-pairing, i.e. permitting non-standard base-pairing at the 3rd anti-codon position. The record is from Rfam by way of RNAcentral. Lineage: Bacteria; Pseudomonadati; Planctomycetota.
GUCCCCGUAGCUCAAUGGACAGAGCGUUGGCCUCCGGAGCCAAAGGUUGUGCGUUCGAAUCGCACCGGGGAUA